UUCGUUGGUACUCAAAGUUAGAUCUUUGCCGAUCUCUUUUUCUUGGUCCCCAAGUCUUUCCUCUCUUUCAACAUCUAUAUCAUUUGGCACAUCCAGUUGCAGAUUUGGUUCGGGCUCACCAUCAGUCUCAGAAUUCAUGUCAUAGAGCCAAGUGUAUUGAAGAUGGAAGUUCAACGCAUGUGCUAUCUGCCCCAAUUGAUUUU
RNAcentral lists this long non-coding RNA (203 nucleotides) under Panax ginseng (ginseng). Its description in RNAcentral is "long non-coding RNA (PGIN_LNC006013)". Lineage: Eukaryota; Viridiplantae; Streptophyta; Magnoliopsida; Apiales; Araliaceae. The record is from RNAcentral.